This 502-nucleotide ribosomal RNA is filed under the name uncultured Diversispora. RNAcentral's name for it is "SSU rRNA". It matches the Rfam family "Eukaryotic small subunit ribosomal RNA", at positions 591 to 1092 of the family's 1831-position model. Lineage: Eukaryota; Fungi; Glomeromycota; Glomeromycetes; Diversisporales; Diversisporaceae. The record is from RNAcentral.
CCAAUAGCGUAUAUUAAAGUUGUUGCAGUUAAAAAGCUCGUAGUUGAACUUCGGGGUUUACCCAUUGGUCAGGCUUAAUUGUCUGCACUGGUGAGAUGAAUCUCUACCUUCUGAGGAACUUUCAUGCCAUUUAUUUGGUGUGAUGGGAAAUCAGGACUGUUACUUUGAAAAAAUUAGAGUGUUUAAAGCAGGCUAACGUCUGAAUACAUUAGCAUGGAAUAAUGAAAUAGGACGGACUGAUUCUAUUUCGUUGGUUUCUAGGAUCACCGUAAUGAUUAAUAGGGUUAGUUGGGGGCAUUAGUAUUCAAUUGUCAGAGGUGAAAUUCUUGGAUUUAUUGAAGACUAACUACUGCGAAAGCAUUUGCCAAGGAUGUUUUCAUUAAUCAAGAACGAAAGUUAGGGGAUCGAAGACGAUCAGAUACCGUCGUAGUCUUAACCAUAAACUAUGCCGACUAGGGAUCGGAUGAUGUUAAUUUUUUAAUGACUCAUUCGGCGCCUUACG